This 310-nucleotide long non-coding RNA is filed under the name Capsella grandiflora. RNAcentral's name for it is "long non-coding RNA (CGRA_LNC001782)". Lineage: Eukaryota; Viridiplantae; Streptophyta; Magnoliopsida; Brassicales; Brassicaceae. The record is from RNAcentral.
GAGACAAGGAAGGACUCUUUACGGAUUCGGCGGUUAAGGAUUUUAGCGUUUGCUUUUGUAUUUUUCUAGGAACGCGUUUUAGCUGUUAUAAUCUCAUUUGGAAUUUUCAGAAUCGAUUUGCGUUUGCGUUUAGCGUUGUAAUGUUGUUUGGGAUAAAUAUAUGCGUUUGCGUUUUACCUCUUUUUAGCUCUCCCUUCUUCUAUUCAGAGAGAAACGACACUAAUUAAAUUGGUUGUCAAAACGGCACGCAUUUAGCUUUCAAGGAAAGAGAUUGAGUGAUGAUUAGUAAACUUGAAACGACACGCAUUUU